Molecule: non-coding RNA, 4760 nt
Organism: Podarcis lilfordi (Lilford's wall lizard)
Lineage: Eukaryota; Metazoa; Chordata; Lepidosauria; Squamata; Lacertidae
Source: the annotation of a GenBank genome assembly
GCUGCUUGGCCUUGUGCUUCUUGGCUGUCGGAGAUCCAGUUUCUGCGAGCCAUUUCUUCCCACUCUGCUUGCAUCUUAUCCCAAAACUCUGUGUCUGACUAGGGAGAGGAUAAAUCAAAAGGAAAACAAGGAAAGCAGGAUUUAAAAGAGGAAGAGAAAAGUGUGUGUGUGAGAGAAAAACAUCUUUCAGCUUCACAGCAUCUUCUGUUUUCGUUUUUUCUGUUUCCAAAACUGCAAACUCUGAAUACCUAACGCCUCCAGCUGAUCUUGGUGGAUAUUCAUCCCAGGCCACCUGUUUAAAAUGGCAAAUAAAAAUGCAAAGUAAUGCUGAUGACUACCUGUUGAUGGGAGGGCAGAAGUCUUUCAGGUGAGCAGUCAAGGGAGGAAGAAUUGAACAUUACCAAGCCUGAACAUUUGCAUACACAGUACAGUCACCAAUGGAUGAUUUCCCAAUGCUUUUUAAAAAAUUAUAUCUACAGUGCUCAUGACAGCACAUCUGACUAUCUCCUCCACCCUCAUUUUUUCAUUGCUGCAGCCUUACAAAAUAGAAACAAAACAAGGUUUUGCAGCACCGUAAAAAGGGUACAUAUUUAUUAUGAUGACACAAGUUUCUGUAGACUACGGUCGAUUUCGUUACAUGCAUAAGUCAAUGAAAGUUUAUACCAUAACAAAUUUGUUAGUGUAGGCACCGCAAGCUAUUUUUUUAUUCUUCUUCAGCAGCAGAGUAACAGAACAACCACUCUGGAAACCUUUACGAAUGAAGUAGGUUGGACAGGGAGAAUGUGACUGGCCUACUAUAACCCAAACAGCUUCAUGGCUGAGGGGGGAUUUGAACCCAGUACCAGCCCAAGGCUCUAGCCACUAUGCAAUGCUGGCUUUCACCUUUUUUCACUCCAUGCACCUUAAUGAAAUGCCACGCUGCAAGCUCUGAGACUGUGUCUUUGUCACCUCUAGUUUUGCAUUGCGCUUCAAGCCUGGGAUGCACGAAUCUGUCAAUUUCAGUGUCUCAUUUCCCAGUCUUAAAUUCAUCUACCCACAUUUCCAAAUCCAUCUGCACUGCCCUUGUGAAAAUCCAUCAAAGCAAACUUCUCAUAAUGUGCACAUUUUUGUAUGCAAUUUGGCCAAAUAUACAUAAAUUUAGCAAAUGCUGCUAAAUAAUAUUCCUUAAUAUAAUGUAGGGUUGCCAUAUGUCUGGACAUACUGUAGUCGGAAGCAGUGCCUGGGCAGAAAGCGGCAAAAUGUCUAGGAAAAUCCAGAUGUAUGGCAACCCAUGUUGACAGUAGCAUUUUUGCUGAUUUUUCUUUAAAAUAGCUCAAAAAUGUCAAUUUUGCCAAAAAACCUCAACAACUUUGCCCCCCCCGAAAGCUCUGUAUAAUGCAUUUUUUAUGUUCUCUGCUAAUAUUUGCAUGCUUAUGCACACUUCACUCUGGUAUCUUCUUCUUCUUUGGCAAUCACUCGUAGCUGAGUAAGAUCGUCUUCCAUAAACACGGUUUUAACAAUGAGUCCAUAAGUGACUGUGGAGGCCAAUUCUGGAUCCACACAUCCUUCCACAGUGGGGACAUUAGUUUCCGGGUUGGAGUUGAUCACAGUGUGGAUUUGCCAAGUGUGCCUUCCUCUUAGCACAUUUCUCCCUUGCAUCCUGAGUUUGAGCAUCUUCAAAGGCCAUGACCACCUUUGGCAAAGGCUGUUCUCUCUCACCCUAGUAUACCCAUUCUGGGACACAUUACUUGGCUGGAGAACUGCACUACAAAGGUUGGAGAAAUGGGGGGUUUGCAGGAUGGCUGCGUAUCAUUUCAGGAAGUGCGAAUUUGACCGUUAAAUGUGAACUGAAUUGAAUUUCUCCUCUCCCCCUUCUCCUUGAUUGCUAACGUUCUUGGUGAGUCAGAGUAUGCCUGAGUUUCGGGAGUGGAGAAGGGAAUGAGAGAUAGUAGAACCCCAGGAUUCCUAAGAAGUGGGGAGGGGGAGGAAUUGUUGUUGUUUAGUUGUUUAGUCGUGUCUGACUCUUCGUGACCCCAUGGACCAGAGCAUGCCAGGCACUUCUGUCUUCCACUGCCUCCUGCAGUUUGGUCAAACUCAUGUGGUAGCUUCAAAAACACUAUCCAACCAUCUCGUCCUCUGUCAUCCCCUUCUCCUUGUGCCCUCCAUCUUUCCCAACAUCAGGGUCUUUUCCAGGGAGUCUUCUCUUCUCAUGAGGUGGCCAAAGUAUUGGAGCCUCAGCUUCACGAUCUGUCCUUCCAGUGAGCACUCAGGGCUAAUUUCCUUAAGAAUGGAUGCGUUUGAUCUUCUUGCAGUCCAUGGGACUCUCAAGAGUCUCCUCCAACACCAUAAUUCACAAGCAUCAACUCUUUGGCCAUCACCCUUCUUGAUGGUCCAGCUCUCACUUCCAUACAUCACUACUGGGAAAACCAUAGCUUUUACUAUACGGACCUUUGUUGGCAAGGUGAUGUCUCUGUUGCUACUAAAAUUCAGCUAAGUUGCUAGAGUUAAGUAACUUGGACUUUACAACUCAUAAGAAGUAUCUAGAAUCUAGAGGUAAUUUAGCUCCGAACGCUACCAAACCGUAAAGGCAGGGCAGGCUUUGUCCGCCUGCUAGCAAACAUGAUUUGGUUUGAAUUCACCGUAUGACAGUCCUCCCAGGACCUUAUCAAAGAGCAGUUUAUAUAAAACUGGACUAUGCUCUCUGCACUUCCUCCUUAAUAAAGUCCAAGCAAUAUAGUUUUAUGUGGGUACUUUUGGGAACAACGUGAGGUUAUUGUGUCUGUUGUCUGCUUAGCUCUGCUUCUCCUGGACGCAAAAUGAAAAAGGCAAAUCAUAAACAGGAUUGUCUUAAAUCACCAGCCAGAGCCCCAGGAAUAAUCUAUCAGCAUUGUGGGUACUUAGAAUUAUAACUGCUUGCUAAUUAAAGUUUGGCAAUCGCAACAACCAGCAUCCACAACACAAACACUUUGCUGGUUCAGCUAACAUCCAGAUUCCCUUAAAGAUUCAUCAUGCUACAUUUUGGAUCUGGGAGGGAUGUUUUCACUUUGCUUUUGCUCUGGUUAUUAGUGCAGCUGAGGGCACACUAAUUCCAUGUACAUUAAUUCAAUGGUUUAUUUUAAAAUGUAAUCUGAGGUGCUUCCUUCCCUCCCCAGCCUUGAUCUUGAUGGGAUUUGGUCCCCCUGCUGCAAUUAGCAGUGGAAAAAUGCUGCCCGGAAUUUUUGGAGGAAAAGGGUUGUUUCAAAUGUGCUUUAAAAGGCAUAGUGUGCAUUCAGCCUUAGAGAGUUUAAAAAUGCACACAACAUAAUAUGAUAAGAUGCAAGGAGAUGUUAUAUUGUGUAUCUCAGGCUUGUCCAUCCUCAUGUUUUCCAGCAGUUUUGGACUAAAACUAAAGUGGGCUGGGGCAAAUGGAAAUUAUAGUCCAAAACAUCUGAAUAGCACCAGGUUGCUGAAGGCUGGCAUACUUUGUAAACAUAAAAUAAUACGUUAACAUAGACAAGGAUCUCUAGUUUUUCUUGACUGUCGGGACAGAGCCUUUAGAGUUAUGAACAGUCAAUAACCUGGUUCCUUUUCACAUGGCAUGUGAAACUCUCAGUUCUAUCUAGCUCUGCAAGAGCCCUCUCAAAGUCCAGACUUGGCAAGGCGUAUUCAUUUAGAUCUGCAUAUCCCCGUUGCGCCUAUGCUAAUUCACUGGGCACUUUGAUUUAAUUUCAGGGAUAUUCCAUCCAAGCUGCACCACUAGAGCUGGAUUCCGCUUCUCUUCUUUGAUCCAGGAAUAAACAGCCAACUGAAACAACUCCUCAGCAGAAGGGCAACUGGUCCGAGGUCUCUAUAAUUAAUGUUUCUUCUCACACACUGGAGUUGGGUUUCUUUAGCCAAAAGACCUUUAUCUUGCAGGCAGCAUCUGUUCUCCGUGAUGCAGGAUUUGCUGUAGCUUAGCCUGCAUUUUGCUGACAACAAAAAUUAACUGUUACAGAGAAUUCCAUGAAAUGAGAGUGCAGGGAAAGCUGCCCCCUUCUGAAAGCAUCCUCCUCUGCAUGCAAAUUUACAAAUAAAUCUGGGGCAGGAGGAGUGCAGCAGACCAUUCUCCAUUCAUGAAAACGUAUAGCAGUCGGUACAAAAAAAAAAAAAGAACCUCCAAGAUCCUACGUGAGUAAUAUGCCGUAGAACCUAUGUACCCAAAGAAAGAUGGAGAGCUGUUUUUCGAUUCAUCUGUGCUCCUUGAAUUGUGCAUGGAAUAGAACUGCUGAAAUUAGAAAGAGCAUGUUCAAAUAAAUCCAUUAUCCUCUUGACCUUGUGAUGUAUGUAGCCUUUGAAGGUGGUGAGUUGCCUGGAUCACGUCCAAUUAAUCGCAAGCUUUGCUAAUAUAUUGACUACUAGCUGCUUUGCAUUUAGCAUUGCAUGGGAAUUUUAAGGAACAAAAAACACCCCCAGCACAGUCUUGAAAUCUGUGGUUAAAAUCAAUGCCGUUUGGAUAAGUUCAACCCACCACCUUGAUUCAAAAUGGCGUCCAACUGUAUCCAAACAUGGAUGCAAAUCUACUCCUUGAUCUCAGGAACAAUCAUGCAAAAUUUGGUUAAAACCAGUUGCCUCUGGUAUAACCCAAGAUGUAUGUCACACUUGGACACAGGUUAACCUGUUUAAGUCUACAUAACACCGCAUGCACUCAAUCUUAAAACACUUAUAAACUGCAGACAGAGCUUUUCCACCACACCCAGCAAUAUAUUUUCUCUUCCUCACCCCCUGCUUUUUUUGCUCAAGAGUCAGGCUGGAUAAAGGUUCUG